AUUCCAGCUCCAAUAGCGUAUACUAAAGUUGUUGCAGUUAAAAAGCUCGUAGUUGAAUUUCUGGUCGUGGCGACCGGUUCGCCCCUCACGGGGUGUGCACCUGGUCUCUGCGUCCAUCCUCGGGGAGAGCGCGUCUGGCAUUCAGUUGUCGGGCGCGGGAUCCUCGUCAUUUACUGUGAGCAAAAUAGAGUGUUCAAAGCAGGCUUACGCCGUUGAAUCUUUUAGCAUGGAAUAAUAAGAUAGGAUCUUGAUACUAUUUUGUUGGUUUGCGUGUCGAGAUAAUGAUGAAUAGGGACAGUUGGGGGUAUUUGUAUUCCAUAGUCAGAGGUGAAAUUCUUGGAUUUAUGGAAGACAAACUAAUGCGAAAGCAUCUACCAAGGAUGUUUUCAUUA
Molecule: ribosomal RNA, 392 nt
Filed under: Eucampia sp.
Lineage: Eukaryota; Bacillariophyta; Thalassiosirophyceae; Eucampiales; Eucampiaceae
Description: partial small subunit ribosomal RNA
Rfam family: Eukaryotic small subunit ribosomal RNA
Source: RNAcentral